CGGGGAGAGUGGCGAACGGGUGAAUAAGACGUUGGUGACCUGCCCCGGAGAGGGGGAUAAUUCCGCGAAAGCGGGACUAAUACCCCAUAGGCUGCAGGGGGUUAUAGGCUUCUGCAAAAAAGGCUGAUGCGCUUCGGGAGGGGCCAGCGGCCUAUCAGCUAGUUGGUAGGGUAAGGGCCUACCAAGGCUGAGACGGGUAGGGGGCGUGAGAGCGUGGCCCCCCACAAUGGCACUGAGACACGGGCCAUACUCCUACGGGAGGCAGCAGUGAGGAAUAUUGCGCAAUGGGGGCAACCCUGACGCAUCAACGCCGCGUGGGUGAAGAAGGCCUUCGGGUUGUAAAACCCUUUUCUGGGGGACGAGCAAGGACGGUACCCCAGGAAUAAGUCCCGGCUAACUACGUGCCACCAGC
This 412-nucleotide ribosomal RNA is filed under the name uncultured bacterium. RNAcentral describes it as "partial 16S ribosomal RNA". It matches the Rfam family "Bacterial small subunit ribosomal RNA", at positions 87 to 515 of the family's 1533-position model. The record is from RNAcentral.